UCCCGUUGAUCCUGCGGGAGGCUGCUGCUAUUGGAGUUCGAUUAAGCCAUGCAAGUCAAGGGGACCUUCGGGUCACCGGCAGAAUGCUCAGUAACACGUCGUUAACCUAACCUUGGAUCGGGGAUAGCCUCGGAAACCUGAGGGUAAAACCUGAUAGGGAAUUUGUUCUGGAAAUGAUUUAUUCUUGAAAAGUAAUGUCUGAGGAUGGGACGGCGGCCGAUUAGGCUGUUGGCGGGGUAACGGCCCACCAAACCGAAGAUCGGUAGGGGUCUUGAGAGAGAUAGCCUCGAGAAGGGCACUGAGGUACUGGCCCUAGCCCUAAGGGGUGCAGCAGGCGCGAAACCUUUACACUGUACGAAAGUGCGAUAGGGGAACUCCAAGUGCUCAAGUCUUACUUGGGCUUUUGCCAAAGCUAAGACCUUUGGCGAAUAAGUGGUGGGAAAGACUGGUGCCAGCCGCCGCGGUAACACCAGCGCCACGAGUGGGAGCCGCGAUUAUUGGGCCUAAAGCGUCCGUAGCCUGUUAAGUAAAUCUUUUGUGAAAUCGUUCAGCUUAACUGAACGGCGAGCAGGAGAGACUGCUUGACUAGGGACCGGGAGGGGUUAGAGGUAUUUCAGGGGGAGCGGUAAAAUGCUAUAAUCCUUGGAAGACCACCUGUGGCAUAGGCGUCUAACCAGAACGGGUCCGACGGUGAGGGACGAAAGCUAGGGGAGCAAUCCGGAUUAGAUACCCGAGUAGUCCUAGCUGUAAACGCUGCGAGCAAGGUGUUGCACAUUCUCCGUGAUUGUGCAGUGUCGAAACGAAGGUGUUAAGCUCGCCGCCUGGGAAGUAUGGUCGCAAGACUGAAACUUAAAGGAAUUGGCGGGGGGGCACAACAAGGGGUGCGGCGUGCGGUUUAAUCUAACUCCACACAGAGAAUCUCACCAGGAGCGACGGCAGGAUGAAAGUCAGUCUAAAGGGCUUACUUGACGAGCCGAGAGGUAGUGCAUGGCCGUCGUCAGCUCGUGCCGCGAGGUGUCCUCUUAAGUGAGGUAACGAGCGAGACCUGCAUCCACAUUUGCCAGCAGGCUUUGCGACUGGGCACAAUGUGGGGACUGCCUUGGAAACAAGGAGGAAGGUGCAGGCAACGGUAGGUCUGUAUGCUCCGAAUCCCCUGGGCUACACGCUCGCAACAUUGAUAGGGACAAUGGGAUGCGACUCCGAAAGGAGAAGCUAAACCUCAAAAACCCUAUCCAGGUUCAGAUCGAGGAUUGUAACUCAUCCUCGUGACGACGGAAUCCCUAGUAAUCGGAAUUCAUCAAAUUCCGGUGAAUAUGUCCCUGCUCCUUGCACACACCGCCCGUCAAACCAACCGAGCAGGUUUUAGAUGAGUCUUAUUUCUUUGAAUAAGCCGAAUCUAGGAUCAGUGAGGUGGGUUAAGUCGACACAAGGUA
This 1433-nucleotide ribosomal RNA is filed under the name metagenome. RNAcentral's name for it is "bacterial SSU rRNA". It matches the Rfam family "Archaeal small subunit ribosomal RNA". The record is from RNAcentral.